RNAcentral lists this ribosomal RNA (460 nucleotides) under uncultured bacterium. RNAcentral describes it as "partial 16S ribosomal RNA". It matches the Rfam family "Bacterial small subunit ribosomal RNA", at positions 338 to 795 of the family's 1533-position model. The record is from RNAcentral.
CCUACGGGAGGCAGCAGUGAGGAAUAUUGGUCAAUGGACGAGAGUCUGAACCAGCCAAGUAGCGUGAAGGAUGACUGCCCUAUGGGUUGUAAACUUCUUUUAUAAGGGAAUAAAAUGUUCCACGUGUGGGUUUUUGUAUGUACCUUAUGAAUAAGGAUCGGCUAACUCCGUGCCAGCAGCCGCGGUAAUACGGAGGAUCCGAGCGUUAUCCGGAUUUAUUGGGUUUAAAGGGAGCGUAGGUGGCUUGUUAAGUCAGUUGUGAAAGUUUGCGGCUCAACCGUAAAAUUGCAGUUGAUACUGGCAGUCUUGAGUACAGUAGAGGUAGGCGGAAUUCGUGGUGUAGCGGUGAAAUGCUUAGAUAUCACGAAGAACUCCGAUUGCGAAGGCAGCUCACUGGACUGCAACUGACACUGAUGCUCGAAAGUGUGGGUAUCAAACAGGAUUAGAUACCCUUGUAGUC